This 874-nucleotide ribosomal RNA is filed under the name marine sponge bacterium plateOTU3. Its description in RNAcentral is "bacterial SSU rRNA". It matches the Rfam family "Bacterial small subunit ribosomal RNA", at positions 56 to 932 of the family's 1533-position model. The record is from RNAcentral.
UGCAAGUCGAGGGGUAACAUUGUGCUUGCACAGAUGACGACCGGCGAACGGGUGCGUAACGCGUAUAGAAUCUACCUCUUACUAAGGGAUAGCCCAGAGAAAUUUGGAUUAAUACCUUAUAGUAUGCAGACUUGGCAUCAAGAGUGCAUUAAAGAUUACGGUAAGAGAUGACUAUGCGUCCUAUUAGCUAGAUGGUGUGGUAACGGCACACCAUGGCAACGAUAGGUAGGGGCCCUGAGAGGGGGAUCCCCCACACUGGUACUGAGACACGGACCAGACUCCUACGGGAGGCAGCAGUGAGGAAUAUUGGACAAUGGAGGCAACUCUGAUCCAGCCAUGCCGCGUGCAGGAAGACUGCCCUAUGGGUUGUAAACUGCUUUUAUACAGGAAGAAACACUGCUACGUGUAGCAGCUUGACGGUACUGUAAGAAUAAGGAUCGGCUAACUCCGUGCCAGCAGCCGCGGUAAUACGGAGGAUCCAAGCGUUAUCCGGAAUCAUUGGGUUUAAAGGGUCCGUAGGUGGAUAAUUAAGUCAGAGGUGAAAUCCUGCAGCUCAACUGUAGAAUUGCCUUUGAUACUGGUUAUCUUGAGUUAUUAUGAAGUAGUUAGAAUAUGUAGUGUAGCGGUGAAAUGCAUAGAUAUUACAUAGAAUACCAAUUGCGAAGGCAGAUUACUAAUAAUAUACUGACACUGAUGGACGAAAGCGUGGGGAGCGAACAGGAUUAGAUACCCUGGUAGUCCACGCCGUAAACGAUGGUCACUAGCUGUUCGAGCUUCGGUUUGAGUGGCUAAGCGAAAGUGAUAAGUGACCCACCUGGGGAGUACGUUCGCAAGAAUGAAACUCAAAGGAAUUGACGGGGGCCCGCACAAGCGG